The sequence is a transfer RNA, 87 nucleotides long. It matches the Rfam family "tRNA". Rfam says of the family: Transfer RNA (tRNA) molecules are approximately 80 nucleotides in length. Their secondary structure includes four short double-helical elements and three loops (D, anti-codon, and T loops). Further hydrogen bonds mediate the characteristic L-shaped molecular structure. tRNAs have two regions of fundamental functional importance: the anti-codon, which is responsible for specific mRNA codon recognition, and the 3' end, to which the tRNAs corresponding amino acid is attached (by aminoacyl-tRNA synthetases). tRNAs cope with the degeneracy of the genetic code in two manners: having more than one tRNA (with a specific anti-codon) for a particular amino acid; and 'wobble' base-pairing, i.e. permitting non-standard base-pairing at the 3rd anti-codon position.
GCAGAUGUGGCGGAAUUGGCAGACGCGCUAGCUUCAGGUGCUAGUGGCAGCAAUGCCGUGUGGGUUCAAGUCCCGUCAUCUGCACCA